AACGAACGUUGGCGGCGCGCCUAACACAUGCAAGUCGCACGAGAAAGGGAGCAAUCCCCGGUACAGUGGCGCACGGGUGAGUAACACGUGGAUAAUCUUCCCUCGGGCGGGGGAUAACCUUCCGAAAGGAGGGCUAAUACCGCAUAAGACCACGGCCAGUACGCUGGCUGAGGUCAAAGCAGGCCUCUUCAUGAAAGCUUGCACCUGAGGAUGAGUCCGCGGCCCAUCAGCUAGUUGGUAGUGUUAAGACUACCAAGGCUAAGACGGGUAGCUGGUCUGAGAGGAUGAUCAGCCACACUGGGAACUGAGACACGGUCCAGACUCCUACGGGAGGCAGCAGUGGGGAAUCUUGCGCAAUGGACGAAAGUCUGACGCAGCGACGCCGCGUGGGUGAUGAAGGCC
Molecule: ribosomal RNA, 402 nt
Filed under: uncultured bacterium
Lineage: Bacteria
Description: bacterial SSU rRNA
Rfam family: Bacterial small subunit ribosomal RNA
Source: RNAcentral